UUAACACAUGCAAGUCGAACGCUGAAGCUUGGUGCUUGCACUGGGUGGAUGAGUGGCGAACGGGUGAGUAAUACGUGAGUAACCUGCCCUUGACUCUGGGAUAAGCCUGGGAAACUGGGUCUAAUACUGGAUAUGACCUCCUGUCGCAUGGUGGGGGGUGGAAAGGGUUUGUACUGGUUGUGGAUGGGCUCACGGCCUAUCAGCUUGUUGGUGGGGUAAUGGCCUACCAAGGCGACGACGGGUAGCCGGCCUGAGAGGGUGACCGGCCACACUGGGACUGAGACACGGCCCAGACUCCUACGGGAGGCAGCAGUGGGGAAUAUUGCACAAUGGGCGCAAGCCUGAUGCAGCGACGCCGCGUGAGGGAUGACGGCCUUCGGGUUGUAAACCUCUUUCAGCACGGAAGAAGCGAAAGUGACGGUACGUGCAGAAGAAGCGCCGGCUAACUACGUGCCAGCAGCCGCGGUAAUACGUAGGGCGCAAGCGUUGUCCGGAAUUAUUGGGCGUAAAGAGCUCGUAGGCGGUUUGUCGCGUCUGCUGUGAAAGCCCGGGGCUUAACCCCGGGUGUGCAGUGGGUACGGGCAGACUUGAGUGCAGUAGGGGAGACUGGAACUCCUGGUGUAGCGGUGAAAUGCGCAGAUAUCAGGAAGAACACCGAUGGCGAAGGCAGGUCUCUGGGCUGUUACUGACGCUGAGGAGCGAAAGCAUGGGGAGCGAACAGGAUUAGAUACCCUGGUAGUCCAUGCCGUAAACGUUGGGCACUAGGUG
RNAcentral lists this ribosomal RNA (768 nucleotides) under Kocuria sp. RNAcentral's name for it is "bacterial SSU rRNA". It matches the Rfam family "Bacterial small subunit ribosomal RNA", at positions 48 to 822 of the family's 1533-position model. Lineage: Bacteria; Bacillati; Actinomycetota; Actinomycetes; Micrococcales; Micrococcaceae. The record is from RNAcentral.